RNAcentral lists this ribosomal RNA (422 nucleotides) under uncultured archaeon. Its description in RNAcentral is "partial 16S ribosomal RNA". It matches the Rfam family "Archaeal small subunit ribosomal RNA", at positions 323 to 746 of the family's 1478-position model. The record is from RNAcentral.
CUACGGGCUGCUCCAGUUAGGAAUAAUCUACAAUGCGCGAAAGCGUGAUAGUUUGAGCCAGAGUGCUUUCCAAAUUGGAAAGCUUUUGCCAAAUGUAAAAAGUUUGGCGAAUAAGGACUGGGUAAGACUAGUGCCAGCCGCCGCGGUAAUACUAGCGGUCCAAGUCGCAGCCAUUUUUAUUGGGUCUAAAACAUCCGUAGCUUGCUUAAUAAGUUUCUUGUGAAAUUUUACGUCUUAAACGUAGAGCGUGCAAGAAGUACUGUUGAGCUAGAGACUGGAAGACGUAAGAAGUACGGUCAAAGUAGCGGUAAAAUGCGUUAAUCUUGAACGGACUCACAAUAGCGAAGGCAUCUUACGAGGACAGUUCUGACAGUAAGGGAUGAAAGCCAGGGGCGCAAAACGGAUUAGAUACCCCCGUAGUC